Molecule: ribosomal RNA, 442 nt
Filed under: uncultured bacterium
Lineage: Bacteria
Description: partial 16S ribosomal RNA
Rfam family: Bacterial small subunit ribosomal RNA
Source: RNAcentral
CCUACGGGUGGCAGCAGUGGGGGAUAUUGCACAAUGGGGGAAACCCUGAUGCAGCGACGCCGCGUGGGCGAAGAAGUAUUUCGGUAUGUAAAGCCCUAUCAGCAGGGGAGAAGAACUGACGGUACCUGAGUAAGAAGCACCGGCCAAAUACGUGCCAGCAGCCGCGGUCAUACGUAGGGUGCAGGCGUUUUCCGGAUUUACUGGGUGUAAAGGGAGCGAAGGCGGCACGGCAAACCUAAUGUGAAAGCUCGGGGCCCAACCGCGGGACUGCAGUGGGAACUACCGGUCUGGAGUGCCGGAGAGGUAGGCGGAAUACCUGGUGUAGCGGUGAAAUGCGUAGAUAUUAGGAGGAACACCAGUGGCGAAGGCGGCCUACUGGACGGUGACUGACGCUGAGGCUCGAAAGCGUGGGGAGCAAACAGGAUUAGAUACCCUAGUAGUC